GUAGGUGGCAAGCGUUGUCCGGAAUUAUUGGGCGUAAAGCGCGCGCAGGCGGUUCUUUAAGUCUGAUGUGAAAGCCCACGGCUCAACCGUGGAGGGUCAUUGGAAACUGGAGAACUUGAGUACAGAAGAGGAAAGCGGAAUUCCACGCGUAGCGGUGAAAUGCGUAGAGAUGUGGAGGAACACCAGUGGCGAAGGCGGCUUUCUGGUCUGUAACUGACGCUGAGGCGCGAAAGCGUGGGGAGCAAACAGGAUUAGAUACCCUGGUAGUCCACGCCGUAAACGAUGAGUGCUAAGUGUUAGGGGGGUUUCCGCCCCCCUUAGUGCUGCAGCUAACGCAUUAAGCACUCCGCCUGGGAGUACGGCCGCAAGGCUG
Molecule: ribosomal RNA, 373 nt
Filed under: uncultured organism
Description: partial 16S ribosomal RNA
Rfam family: Bacterial small subunit ribosomal RNA
Source: RNAcentral